RNAcentral lists this non-coding RNA (24 nucleotides) under Arabidopsis thaliana (thale cress). The record is from RNAcentral. Lineage: Eukaryota; Viridiplantae; Streptophyta; Magnoliopsida; Brassicales; Brassicaceae.
GACGAACGGAAAGACAGUAAUUAA